UGGGGAAUUUUGGACAAUGGGCGAAAGCCUGAUCCAGCAAUGCCGCGUGUGUGAAGAAGGCCUUCGGGUUGUAAAGCACUUUUGUCCGGAAAGAAAUCCUUGGCUCUAAUACAGUCGGGGGAUGACGGUACCGGAAGAAUAAGCACCGGCUAACUACGUGCCAGCAGCCGCGGUAAUACGUAGGGUGCAAGCGUUAAUCGGAAUUACUGGGCGUAAAGCGUGCGCAGGCGGUUUGCUAAGACCGAUGUGAAACCCCGGGCUCAACCUGGGAACUGCAUUGGUGACUGGCAGGCUAGAGUAUGGCAGAGGGGGGUAGAAUUCCACGUGUAGCAGUGAAAUGCGUAGAGAUGUGGAGGAAUACCGAUGGCGAAGGCAGCCCCCUGGGCCAAUACUGACGCUCAUGCACGAAAGCGUGGGGAGCAAACAGGAUUAGAUACCCUGGUAGUCCACGCCCUAAAACGAUGUCAACUAGUUGUUGGGGAUUCAUUUCCUUAGUAACGUAGCUAACGCGUGAAGUUGACCGCCUGGGGAGUACGAUCGCAAGAUUAAAACUUAAA
This 557-nucleotide ribosomal RNA is filed under the name uncultured bacterium. RNAcentral's name for it is "partial 16S ribosomal RNA". It matches the Rfam family "Bacterial small subunit ribosomal RNA", at positions 355 to 905 of the family's 1533-position model. The record is from RNAcentral.